Molecule: long non-coding RNA, 435 nt
Filed under: Malus domestica (apple)
Lineage: Eukaryota; Viridiplantae; Streptophyta; Magnoliopsida; Rosales; Rosaceae
Description: long non-coding RNA (MDOM_LNC003299)
Source: RNAcentral
CUCCUUUAACUUUGCUUCUCCAAGAAAUAAAAAUGUUUUUUUUUUUUUUCAAUUGCAUUUUUUUAACAUACAAUUUUGAUGAUUUUUAACAAAAGGUAAAGGUUGUGAUUAUCAGAUGAUGGAUGACUAUGGUCGUCUCCUUCAUAUGAUGCUUCGCCCUCCUUCCCUUGAUUUGUUAGGUUUUGAAGACAAACAUAAAGUAUAUAACCAGUUGACAUACUUGUAAGAACUCGGUGGCGGCGGUUGUUUCCCAAACACCUGCAAUAACCUCGACCUUGAAGAAACUAAAAACAAAAAAAACAAAAAAUAAAAAAAAUUAAUUUCCACAAAAAUUGAUGCUUUACAUUGAAACAAACAUAGAAGUAGAGUAAAAAACCCACCUCACCUUCAAUUCGAUUACUAAUUAGUCGAGUGUGGAAGUCGACAAGUAUCCGA